RNAcentral lists this microRNA precursor (100 nucleotides) under Nematostella vectensis (starlet sea anemone). RNAcentral's name for it is "microRNA nve-mir-2049 precursor". Lineage: Eukaryota; Metazoa; Cnidaria; Anthozoa; Actiniaria; Edwardsiidae. The record is from miRBase by way of RNAcentral.
AUCAUCCAUGAGCCGUAUUCAAUGCAAAUGCACGCAAAUGAAGAUGAAACAAUCGACUCGAUUCAUGUGCAUGCAUUUACAUUGAAUACGUCUCAUGGAU